GCUUUGUUUUUCUCGAAGACAAAAAAGUCCUUUCAAAAUUCAUCUAUAGCAGCAUACCCAACCCAUGUGCCUUCCUGCCCCGAUGGAAGUUUGGAGUUUGGGCACUUCCCGCCUUCCUCGCUCCCCAGCUCUCCUCAUAGUCAUGCUUCUCUGGUGCAACUGAAAGCACAUUCCAGCAACUAUCGCCAACCCUAGAUCUUAAGCUGGAAACUUUGAAGACACAUCACGUCGAGAGAUGGAGAGAGAGGUUACAGUCCUGGGGGCUUCGAAGCUCCAAGCAUUCUAGAACCACCCAGUCAGUCCUAAGAUGAGUAAACCGACCAUCCUUUAUUGUUUACUUUUAUUAUUAUUUUUAAAUUUGUAAUUAUGUUUUUAAUUUGCACCAAUUGUUUGUAAGAAUCAUUAAUUAGUCAAUACUCAAUUGUUCAUAUGAUUUUCGUGA
Long non-coding RNA from Malania oleifera, 442 nucleotides. RefSeq lists it as uncharacterized. The record is from RefSeq and is a predicted model, not a curated record. NCBI's taxonomy places the organism in Eukaryota, Viridiplantae, Streptophyta, Magnoliopsida, Santalales, Ximeniaceae. The transcript is spliced from 2 exons.